GUGAGUCAGCGGUGACAGGGACAGAACCUAGAGCCCGGGAUCCGGAGCUUCUGGCCCCGGCCGUGACUCGGCGAUCCGAGCGCCCCGCCCCCACCCAGGCCCCCGGGCCGGGCAGCGGGGGCCAGGAGGGGGCGGGGCAGGGCGCGGCCGGGCUCUGGGUGAGGCCGGAACUGCUUCAUUGUGCAGGACUGGAACAUUCGAAGGCGAAGGCGCCCGACCCGUGGGCCCAUUAGCCUCCCUCGCUCCUCCCUCUCUCCCUCCCUCCCUCCCUGUCUCUCAGACCACCACGCCCGGCAGCUGCCUCCAGACCGGUCCCUACCCAGCGUCUCUCCGCUCCGGGUCCCGAAGCCCCACCUUGCCGCAGGCUUCCCGGAGCCCAGGACCUCAGGAAGCCCCUCCCUUGGCCGUCAGCCCCCCGCAGAGCCCUGGAUGCCAUGGAAACCGCCAGGCUUGGGUAGGGGGGCCCCCUUCUGGGCCUGCUGGGGUUCAGUGUCUUUGAAGACACUUUGAGGACUCAGAACCACCCAUUCAUUGGCCAUCAACGAAAAGCCACUACCUGUCGCUGGGUAUGCUGACACACGCCUUUAACCCCAGCUGAGGCAGAGGGAUCUCCA
Molecule: long non-coding RNA, 614 nt
Filed under: Heterocephalus glaber (naked mole-rat)
Lineage: Eukaryota; Metazoa; Chordata; Mammalia; Rodentia; Bathyergidae
Description: lncRNA (ENSHGLG00000045123.1)
Source: RNAcentral